GCAGCUCAAUGGUAGAGCAUCUGCUUUGCAUGCAGAAGUUCCCAGGCUUAAUUCCUGGCAUCUCCA
Molecule: non-coding RNA, 66 nt
Organism: Podarcis lilfordi (Lilford's wall lizard)
Lineage: Eukaryota; Metazoa; Chordata; Lepidosauria; Squamata; Lacertidae
Source: the annotation of a GenBank genome assembly